This 894-nucleotide ribosomal RNA is filed under the name Pseudocercospora macadamiae. RNAcentral's name for it is "LSU rRNA". It matches the Rfam family "Eukaryotic large subunit ribosomal RNA", at positions 38 to 964 of the family's 3401-position model. Lineage: Eukaryota; Fungi; Ascomycota; Dothideomycetes; Mycosphaerellales; Mycosphaerellaceae. The record is from RNAcentral.
GCAUAUCAAUAAGCGGAGGAAAAGAAACCAACAGGGAUUGCCCUAGUAACGGCGAGUGAAGCGGCAACAGCUCAAAUUUGAAAUCUGGCGCAAGCCCGAGUUGUAAUUUGUAGAGGAUGCUUCUGGGUAGCGGCCGGUCUAAGUUCCUUGGAACAGGACGUCAUAGAGGGUGAGAAUCCCGUAUGUGACUGGCUUGCACCCUCCACGUAGCUCCUUCGACGAGUCGAGUUGUUUGGGAAUGCAGCUCUAAAUGGGAGGUAAAUUUCUUCUAAAGCUAAAUACCGGCCAGAGACCGAUAGCGCACAAGUAGAGUGAUCGAAAGAUGAAAAGCACUUUGGAAAGAGAGUUAAAAAGCACGUGAAAUUGUUGAAAGGGAAGCGCCCGCAACCAGACUUUGCGGCAGUGUUCGGCCGGUCUUCUGACCGGUUUACUCGCUGUCGUGAGGCCAUCAUCGUCUGGGACCGCUGGAUAAGACCUUAGGAAUGUGGCUCCCCUCGGGGAGUGUUAUAGCCUCUGGUGAUGCAGCGCGUCUCGGGCGAGGUCCGCGCUUCGGCAAGGAUGAUGGCGUAAUGGUUGUCGGCGGCCCGUCUUGAAACACGGACCAAGGAGUCUAACAUCUAUGCGAGUGUUCGGGUGUCAAACCCCUACGCGUAAUGAAAGUGAACGGAGGUGGGAACUUUUUGUGCACCAUCGACCGAUCCUGAUGUCCUCGGAUGGAUUUGAGUAAGAGCAUAGCUGUUGGGACCCGAAAGAUGGUGAACUAUGCCUGAAUAGGGUGAAGCCAGAGGAAACUCUGGUGGAGGCUCGCAGCGGUUCUGACGUGCAAAUCGAUCGUCAAAUUUGGGUAUAGGGGCGAAAGACUAAUCGAACCAUCUAGUAGCUGGUUCCUGCCGA